GAGAAAUGAGGAUAACUUAAUGUGUCUGACAUAUGCUGUAGACCAAAAGAUCCAACUCUGAUCUCGCUUGAAGC
Molecule: small nucleolar RNA, 74 nt
Organism: Protopterus annectens (West African lungfish)
Lineage: Eukaryota; Metazoa; Chordata; Ceratodontiformes; Protopteridae
Product: small nucleolar RNA SNORD19
Exons: 1
Source: RefSeq, a predicted model, not a curated record